Carassius gibelio (silver crucian carp) is the source of this 692-nucleotide long non-coding RNA. RefSeq lists it as uncharacterized. The transcript is spliced from 4 exons. The record is from RefSeq and is a predicted model, not a curated record. Lineage: Eukaryota; Metazoa; Chordata; Actinopteri; Cypriniformes; Cyprinidae.
AGAUGCUGAUGAGAUGAGCAGAGAACACACACAUCUGGACGUCAAUUAAAGGGAGCUGGUGCGGAUUGAAAGGGCCGUGUAAAUGAAUUGAUCUGAAUGAUGUGUGGGAACUGGUUUGUUAACAACUCAUGGACCGCUGAUGGUUUUUUCCAGCCGGUGAGCCUUGAUGUCUGUAAUGGGAGCACUUGUUGGUGUAUAUUUGGGACAGUAGUGCACUCAUCAGUGAAAUGCGUCGCACCUGAACUCAGCACCUGCUGCUCUUCAGCCGAAUAGACACGAGCUUCAGACUCACACCCGAGAUAAUCAGAUGGCUUUUCAUGCUUUGAUUCCUCUCAUCACUGAACACACAGGUCAGACACGCAUGAGCUGAUUCUGUGCAGGAAGCUGGAUGUGCUGUUUUAUGAAUGAAUGGAAUCGGUCAGAGGUUCAUAACUCGCCAAGGAGCUUCUUCUGCUUUGAUGAAUCUGUUUUCUCAGCUAACAAAUACAUGUUCCAAGAAGGUUUUGCUUACAUCCCUGUUUUGUUUCUGAAUGUUCUCUGAAGAAUCAUGCUUUUAAAAAAAACACACAUUUUUACGCAAAUGUUACAUUGUAUCAUUCUAGGCAAAAUCCUUGGAAUGUUACAUUUGAAAGUUCUCAGAACUUUCAAAAUGUCUGUUUUAUUUAUCAUUAUUAUUUUUUAAUUGACAUGGU